GCUCAGAGUAUAAGCCAAUGGAGCUUGGAAGGCUUCCGCAGAUGGUGUCCAUCAUACGUGGUGUUCUUAAGACCUUGAGUGUGGCUCGUCAGGCGAAGCAUUGAGUUUGCCGGGUAGCUGUCGUGCGGGGGGUUCGGCUUGGAGGUCUCAGGCUUCGGCCGAAGGGCUUCCGGUUGUCCCCUUUUGAAUGGGCGUUCAGAGCUCUUGUGUCUAAUGCGGUUAUGCCCACCACAGCACGUUGUGAGGUCACCCACAGGCUCAAACUGCCGAUCGCGCAUCCAGGACGAUGGCAACGAUGCGUUGUUGAUGAUGGCUCGAGAGAGACUUCACUCACACGCGUGUCUAGUCCUGGGUCGGGCGGCGACCGAGAUAAACCUGGUAUGAUCCUCUUGCGACGAGCUGCUUUCUGGCCAGACCGACGCCCAGGCACCUCCACUGUGCCGGAAGUGCCAAUCCCAGGCGGUGUGAACCCAGCUGCAUUAUGCAAGGUCUCUCAGCCGGGCGUUGGUCUGAGUGGUGUUAAGUCCAGCACCAUCGGUCACGUCUCGAAACACGGGCCAAGGAGUAUAGCAUGUGUGCAAGUCUAAGGGUCUCACAAAACCCGAAGGCGAAGUGAAAGCAAGACUGUGGCGGGGGAGCUACGGCAAACCCGCCGGCCUAGUGGCGCGUGCGUCGCCUGGCUUUUAGCAGAGCUGAUCCUGUUUUCUCGGUUAAUUCUUGGUGCAGGCGCAAGCUCCGGGCUCACGUACAACUCUGGUCACGCCUCGCG
RNAcentral lists this ribosomal RNA (769 nucleotides) under Niphargus puteanus. RNAcentral's name for it is "partial 28S ribosomal RNA". Lineage: Eukaryota; Metazoa; Arthropoda; Malacostraca; Amphipoda; Niphargidae. The record is from RNAcentral.